Molecule: transfer RNA, 92 nt
Filed under: Betaproteobacteria bacterium
Lineage: Bacteria; Pseudomonadati; Pseudomonadota; Betaproteobacteria
Description: tRNA-Val
Source: RNAcentral
UUCAACGGCGGGCGGUUCGGCGCGCUGGCGCGCUGACGGCGCGCGGCGGGUGCACUGCGCCCGCCGCGCCGAUCGUUCGCGCCGCGCUCAGC